UACGAAGGUGGCAAGCGUUGUUCGGAUUUACUGGGCGUACAGGGAGCGUAGGCGGUUGGAUAAGCCCUCCGUGAAAUCUCCAGGCUUAACCUGGAAAGUGCAGAGGGGACUGUUCAGCUAGAGGAUGGGAGAGGAGCGCGGAAUUCCAGGUGUAGCGGUGAAAUGCGUAGAUAUCUGGAGGAACACCGGUGGCGAAGGCGGCGUUCUGGACUGCAACUGACACUGAGGAACGAAAGCCAGGGGAGCAAACGGG
RNAcentral lists this ribosomal RNA (253 nucleotides) under uncultured bacterium. RNAcentral describes it as "partial 16S ribosomal RNA". It matches the Rfam family "Bacterial small subunit ribosomal RNA", at positions 524 to 776 of the family's 1533-position model. The record is from RNAcentral.